This 306-nucleotide signal recognition particle RNA is filed under the name Ipomoea nil (Japanese morning glory). RNAcentral's name for it is "Plant signal recognition particle RNA". It matches the Rfam family "Plant signal recognition particle RNA". The record is from Rfam by way of RNAcentral. Lineage: Eukaryota; Viridiplantae; Streptophyta; Magnoliopsida; Solanales; Convolvulaceae.
GCUGGGCUUUGUUGCGUGAGCCUGUAACCCAAGUGGGAGCAUUAAGAUGGUGGAACAGUUGGCCAUUCCCUGAAUGCUGGGCCUUGGUUGCUAUUUACUGGCUUGCCCGUUCCAAGUGGUGAGUUGUGCUGUGGGUUCUCUGCGAAGGUAGAGGCUUCUUUGGUCCUUAGAUUUGGAGGGCACCGCGUGAGGCUGGCUUCACAGAGCAGCGAAAACCUCCUCCUCUCUGCAGUGGAAGGAUAACGGGCCGGUGCAUCCACUACCCAAUAACGCCUGACGGGCUGUUGAAAUUGAACCACCAUCUUU